CCAGACUCCUACGGGAGGCAGCAGUGGGGAAUAUUGCACAAUGGGGGAAACCCUGAUGCAGCGACGCCGCGUGAGCGAUGAAGUAAUUCGGUAUGUAAAGCUCUAUCAGCAGGGAAGAAGAUGACGGUACCUGACUAAGAAGCCCCGGCUAACUACGUGCCAGCAGCCGCGGUAAUACGUAGGGGGCAAGCGUUAUCCGGAUUUACUGGGUGUAAAGGGAGCGUAGACGGCGGUGCAAGUCUGAUGUGAAAGCCCGGGGCUCAACCCCGGGACUGCAUUUGGAACUGUGUGGCUGGAGUGUAGGAGAGGCAGGCGGAAUUCCUAGUGUAGCGGUGAAAUGCGUAGAUAUUAGGAGGAACACCAGUGGCGAAGGCGGCCUGCUGGACGAUGACUGACGUUGAGGCUCGAAAGCGUGGGGAGCAAACAGGAUUAGAUACCCGAGUA
RNAcentral lists this ribosomal RNA (444 nucleotides) under uncultured bacterium. RNAcentral's name for it is "bacterial SSU rRNA". It matches the Rfam family "Bacterial small subunit ribosomal RNA", at positions 331 to 792 of the family's 1533-position model. The record is from RNAcentral.